Molecule: long non-coding RNA, 2036 nt
Filed under: Homo sapiens (human)
Lineage: Eukaryota; Metazoa; Chordata; Mammalia; Primates; Hominidae
Description: non-protein coding lnc-SGSM2-2:2
Source: RNAcentral
AAUCGGAGAGUUAGCUCUUUGAGGCCGGCUGCCCUUAAAUCCUCUCACUUCACACAUAAGGAAACUGAGGCCGUGACGGCCAAGGACUCGCCUAAGGUCGUUCCGUAUUCCACCUGCUCCUCUCUCCCGAAGCGGGGGCACUCUUCCCUGACCCCAGGGACGACUCUGAAGCCAGUUCUGGAGGAGGGCCCCCAAUUAGAAAAAUGCCAGGGAGGAAUAGCAACCCUGACCACUUAACACACUGUGAUUGGGGCAACAAAAAUCUUCACCUGAGACCCAACUCCGCUGUUCUGCUUCCUCGGUGGAAGCCACACGAACCCCACUGGUACAGCGGCAGCGAUAGACCCCAGGCGGCUGAAAGCUUAUUUGGAGCGUCCCGGAGCAUGUCGAUUGUGCUGUGCCAGUGCAGGGGGAGUACCCCUCAGUUCUGGCCCCAGGCUCCAUUCUUUGCUAACCGGUCCAAGAAGUGGGGGGGCAGUCAGUGCCAGUGGGUUUAGAACUCCUCAGCCGCGGCUUCAACAUCACACACAACCAGAAAGCAAACCUUCAUGAGGCUGAGAGGCAGGCCGCCCUGCCAAUACAUUCCAUCACAUGGCACCCUCGGAGCGUUCCUAUUUUAGGGACUGGUUGGAAGACAGCUAGAAACAUAGAAAGCAGGCAAAAUGUUUGCUGGCUUUACUCCUUUCCUUUGAGGGCAUCGUCAUGCAUCCUAGGGGGGAAAAAUCUGCACAGAUCCUGGAAAUCAAGAACUUCGUGAACCAGAGGAAGGGGGCUGUUUGCCAGUACUAGUCUACAGAGGCCUCUGAUCUUUUCACAUUUAAUGCCCCAGCAUCUAGAGCUGAGCAUGCAGAAGUCGCCACACACACAAAUGUCCAGGUGGCCAUGCACUCAUACAGCCCUGGAGUUUCUGCUGAAGGCUGAGGUUUAAUUUUUUACACUCUUCUUUGUCACUGGCCAACUCUAUACCAGUAAGUAGGCACCUCUCUGAAAGGCAGUGUUCUUAAGACACUGUUCGCUUCAGGGGUGAGGAAGCAGAAGGUAAGAGUAGAGUGAACACAGAUUUGAAUGCCAGCCUCUCCAUUGCCCCCAAUACUCCAUCUGCUCCAGAGCUUAGUGGAGAUGUUUGCUAUUUAAAACAAACAGCCUUACUGGCUUCACAUGAUCAUCUGUUUAUUUGGGUCAUGUGGGGACAGCAGCCAGGGGAUGUUAGACAAAAACAAGGGUUUAGAAGGGAGGCUGCAGGCCAGGAGCGGUGGCUCACGCCUGUAAUCCCAGCACUUUGGGAGGCCGAGGUGCAUGGAUCACUUGAGGUCCGGAGUUCGAGACAAUCCUGGCCAACGUGGUGUGGUGAAACCCUGUCUCUACUAAAAAAAAAAAAAAAAAAAGGAAGAAAAAAGAAAAUUAGCUGGGCGUGGUGGCAGGCGCCUGUAAUCCCAGCUACUGGGGGUGGUUAAGGCAGGAGAGUCACUUGAACCCGGGAGGUGGAGGUUGCAGUGAGCUGAGAUGACACCACUGCACUCCAGCCUGGGCCACAGAGAGAGACUCCGUCUCCAAAAAAAAAAAAAAAAAAAAAAAAAAAGGGUGGGGGAGGCUGUUUCUGGACCUAUUGUUGCCUACAGGAGCCUGAAAAUGGCCAAAAACAAUACCUCAUCAACCAAGCUUUCCCCAGUUGAGGAAUGGACAGUGGGGGUGGGAGAUACCUAUAAAUGGCGAUGUGAGGGCAUGAAAGAAGAGGGGAAUGAAUAGGAGGGCUGUUUAAUAUUUUAGCCCCAGCUUCCUGUUCCAAGGGGGUGGAGCCAGGAUAGAAGCUGGCAAAUGUACUCACUCAAGAGAAAGAGAAAUAAGUCCUUUUGGUUUCAGCAGAAAGGUUAGCAGGUUUGGGGAAUUAUCCAAAGGCCAGCAAUCUCUAAAAAGGUGUUCCUUAAGUUUCUUUUUCUUUUUUUCUUUUUUGAGAUAGAGUCUCCCUCUGUUGCCCAGGCUGGAGUGCAGUGGUGUGAUCUUGGCUCACUGCAACUUCUGCCUCCCAGGUUCAAGUG